Notamacropus eugenii (tammar wallaby) is the source of this 91-nucleotide microRNA precursor. Ensembl annotates it as microRNA 101-2. Its record names the gene MIR101-2. The record is from Ensembl. NCBI's taxonomy places the organism in Eukaryota, Metazoa, Chordata, Mammalia, Diprotodontia, Macropodidae.
GACUGAACUGUCCUUUUUCGGUUAUCAUGGUACCGAUGCUAUAUAUGUGAAAGGUACAGUACUGUGAUAACUGAAGAAUGGUGGUGCCAUC